RNAcentral lists this ribosomal RNA (492 nucleotides) under uncultured bacterium. Its description in RNAcentral is "partial 16S ribosomal RNA". It matches the Rfam family "Bacterial small subunit ribosomal RNA", at positions 29 to 507 of the family's 1533-position model. The record is from RNAcentral.
AGUGAACGCUGGCGGUAGGCCUAACACAUGCAAGUCGAACGGCAGCACAGUAAGAGCUUGCUCUUACGGGUGGCGAGUGGCGGACGGGUGAGGCAUACAUCGGAAUCUACUUUUUCGUGGGGGAUAACGUAGGGAAACUUACGCUAAUACAGCAUACGUUCUACGGGUGAAAGCAGGGGAUAUUCGGACCUUGCGCGAUUGAAUGAGACGAUGUCGGAUUAGCUAGUUGGCGGGGUAAAGGCACACCAAGGCGACGAUCCGUAGCUGGUCUGAGAGGAUGAUCAGCCACACUGGAACUGAGACACGGUCCAGACUCCUACGGGAGGCAGCAGUGGGGAAUAUUGGACAAUGGGCGAAAGCCUGAUCCAGCCAUGCCGCGUGAGUGAAGAAGGCCUUCGGAUUGUAAAGCCCUUUUGUUAGGAAAGAAAAGCUGCAGGUUAAUCCCCCGCUGUUCUGACGGUACCCAAAGAGUAAGCACCGGCUAACUUCGUG